This 503-nucleotide ribosomal RNA is filed under the name uncultured bacterium. RNAcentral's name for it is "partial 16S ribosomal RNA". It matches the Rfam family "Bacterial small subunit ribosomal RNA", at positions 30 to 523 of the family's 1533-position model. The record is from RNAcentral.
AUUGAACGCUGGCGGCAGGCUUAACACAUGCAAGUCGAGCGGGGAAGGGUAGCUUGCUACCUAACCUAGCGGCGGACGGGUGAGUAAUGCUUAUGAAUCUGCCUAUUAGUGGGGGACAACAUCUCGAAAGGGAUGCUAAUACCGCAUACGUCCUACGGGAGGAAGCAGGGGAUCACUUGUGACCUUGCGCUAAUAGAUGAGCCUAAGUCGGAUUAGCUAGUUGGUGGGGUAAAGGCCUACCAAGGCGACGAUCUGUAGCGGGUCUGAGAGGAUGAGCAGCCACACUGGGACGGAGACACGGCCCGGGCUCCUACGGGAGGUAGCAGUGGGGAAUAUUGGACAAUGGGUGGAACCCUGAUCCAGCCAUGCCGCGUGUGUGAAGAAGGCCUUAUGGUUGUAAAGCACUUUAAGCGAGGAGGAGGCUCUUUUGGUUAAUACCCAAGAUGAGUGGACGUUACUCGCAGAAUAAGCACCGGCUAACUCUGUGCCAGCAGCCGCCGUAA